Molecule: ribosomal RNA, 341 nt
Filed under: uncultured Butyrivibrio sp.
Lineage: Bacteria; Bacillati; Bacillota; Clostridia; Lachnospirales; Lachnospiraceae
Description: partial 16S ribosomal RNA
Source: RNAcentral
GGAGUCUGGGCCGUGUCUCAGUCCCAAUGUGGCCGUCCGCCCUCUCAGGCCGGCUACUGAUCGUCGCUUCGGUGGGCCGUUACCCCGCCGACUGGCUAAUCAGAUGCGGAUCCAUCCUGUACCGAUAUUUCUUUUCACCCUGCACCAUGCGGUGCCGGGCGCUUAUGCGGUAUUACCAGCCGUUUCCAGCUGCUAUCCCCCUGUACAGGCCAGGUUAUCCACACGUUACUCACCCGUCCGCCACUAAGUAUCCGCUUGAUCUCUUCUGUGCAAGCACUUCCAAUCUCUCCCCGGAUGCUCCGUUCGACUUGCAUGUGUUAGGCACGCCGCCAGCGUUCAUC